Molecule: ribosomal RNA, 459 nt
Filed under: uncultured bacterium
Lineage: Bacteria
Description: partial 16S ribosomal RNA
Rfam family: Bacterial small subunit ribosomal RNA
Source: RNAcentral
CCUACGGGAGGCAGCAGUGCGGAAUAUUGGUCAAUGGGCGGAAGCCUGAACCAGCCAAGUAGCGUGCAGGAUGACGGCCCUACGGGUUGUAAACUGCUUUUAUACGGGAAUAACGCGCCUUACGUGUAGGGCUUUGCAUGUACCGUAUGAAUAAGAACGGCUAAUUCCGUGCCAGCAGCCGCGGUAAUACGGAAGGUUCGGGCGUUAUCCGGAUUUAUUGGGUUUAAAGGGAGCGUAGGCCGCAUGUCAAGCGUGCUGUGAAAUGGCCGGGCUCAACCCGGGCCUUGCAGCGCGUACUGGCGUGCUUGAGUCCGCGGAAAGCAGGCGGAAUUCGUCGUGUAGCGGUGAAAUGCUUAGAUAUGACGAAGAACCCCGAUUGCGAAGGCAGCUUGCUGCAGCGGAACUGACGCUGAUGCUCGAAAGCGCGGGUAUCGAACAGGAUUAGAUACCCGGGUAGUC